UCUGGACUUGCUUAGCAGGAUAGUAUCAAUUGGCUUAGAACCAAAUUACUAGCUUCAUUCCUGAAACCUGGUUGGCAUACUAGAUGGACAUCACAGAACUGGGUGGGAAGCAGUAUAUUCUUAAAAAAAAAAAAAAAAAAAAAAAAGGCAGCUGUUGGAAAAUGGGAAAAGGCUUCAAGAGAGUCAACCAACUAUUGCCCACUGAUUGCAUUGGUUAUAUAGGCUGCUGAGAAAUUAUGAGAGAAUAAAGUAAUCUGGCAAGGGGGAGGUAAAAGAAGGGAAUUCAAAAAUAUUAAGUACUUCUAAUGUUUAAGAGUCAAUGCCAAGAGACUAUAAGGUUAUGGGGGAAAUCCUGCAAAACAUUUUGAUUUCUGUUUUCAGUAAUCAUGCACUCUCUGAUACAAAAUAAAUGAGUAAUGGGUUUAAAGAGAAAGGUGAUGAGGUCAGUUUUAAAUGCCUGGAGUAUCAGGUAUAUCUACUCAUAUAUUCAAGAUUUCUGGGAGGAGAUGGGAAAUGGGUAUACUACUGAGAUCAGUGAAAGUUUCUACAGGAUAUAUACAAUGCAACUAUGAAAAUGACCUGCCUUAGAAUACUAUGAAGAGUAUAUAAAGAAAAAAGACCUGCAGAUAGAGCACUGGUGACUAUCAAGAACUGAACAAGGAACAAAAGAGGACAUUAAAACUAUUUUAGGAGAGAAUGGAGACAUCAAAGCCAAGAGAGGGUAUGUUCUCAUAACAGCAAUGGCUAAUGCAAUUGAAAAAGUCAAAGAAGUUCAAGAAAGGAGUCCUGGAGUUCCCGUCGUGGCGCAGUGGUUAACGAAUCCGACUAGGAACCAUGAGGUUGCAGGUUCGAUCCCUGCCCUUGCUCAGUGGGUUAACGAUCNNNNNNNNNNNNNNNNNNNNNNNNNNNNNNNNNNNNNNNNNNNNNNNNNNNNNNNNNNNNNNNNNNNNNAAAAAAAAAAAAAAAAAAAAAAAAAAAAAAAAAAGAAAGGAGUCCUUUGGGCAAUAGCGUUGAUAAUACCAAUUGCAGGGGAGUGUUUUGUAGGAAAUCAUGCAACAAUGGGACUAAGGAAAGAAGGACAGGAAAGAAGUGGAAGACAUGUAAGAAAAAAAAAAAAAAAAACCUGUUGUUACAAAGCUUAACUGUAAAUGAAAACAGAGAAGUGGGUUUGACUGAUAAUGACAUUUUGACACUGAAAAAUUUAGAAGACUGGAGAGGUAACGAGCAGGAGGAAGAAGAGAGACAUGAGCAGGAACACAAAUGCACUUACAAACAGGAGACAACAAACAACUAUGUCCGAGUAGAAAGGGAAGAAUCAGAGUCUGGAAUUCUCAGAAGACUGAGUCAAGGCUUGCAGUAUCUGUGAUGCCAACAACUGUGUUUCUGCAGUAUUUUCCCAGUCUUGUAAUAUUGGCCAAAAUGAAAGAAGGAUUCAGUACAAAGAGGAUGGCCUUUCUGCAGGAUGCUUCUACUAAGGACAGCAUGGCAAGGCCUUCCAUGAACCAGAUUACUAUGAAUCCUGGAAUUCUGGAAAGUAACCAGCCAUGAAGCCAACAAUGAUUUAAGACCAAGAUAUAGUAGGAAGGAGCAACCAAGAUUUGAAGGCAGUACAGAUCGGUGGACAUCGAAGUGGAUGUGAGACUACCCUCUUUAGAAUUUUGUUUUCAAAAUAUACAGAAAAGAUGUCACUUAGGAUACAAUUCUUGAAUAUUUUAUUAUAAGAGGCUAUUUUGAAAAUAUCUAUAGCCACUAACUCAUAAAAAAGAGUCAUUUUUAACUUAUUUCCAGAUUGCCUUCCAUAGAUCCUUGAAGAAGAGGUUCCAAAUUUAUUUUGAUCUUUUGAUUGCUUAAAGACAUUCACCAAGAAACUUUUGGAGCUUUCAACCUUUCUACAGAAACAUUCAUUUGAACGAGAGAGAAUAUUUUGCAAAUUGACUCCCAGGCUGAUUUCUUACCAUCAUUCAAAAUGGAUUUGGGCCAGCUCCUUCAGCCAUCAGUUAUGUGAUACAAGUUGAUUUUAAUAAUGCAUUCUAAAUACAAAUAGAAAUGACUAUUGUCUAUGUUUUGAACUAUCUGUUCAACAUUGUUUAGCUAGAUAAGUGAAAAUUUAUCCCAUUUCUAAUUUCUGUUAUUUAGUAAUUAGAUCACUUUGCCUUUUUGGUUCCAGUUAGAUAGUAAUUAAUAAAAAGACUACUCUUUUUCUUGGAAGGAAAAUA
This 2216-nucleotide long non-coding RNA is filed under the name Sus scrofa (pig). RNAcentral describes it as "lncRNA (ENSSSCG00055006703.1)". The record is from RNAcentral. Lineage: Eukaryota; Metazoa; Chordata; Mammalia; Artiodactyla; Suidae.